UACGGAGGAUGCGAGCGUUAUCCGGAUUUAUUGGGUUUAAAGGGUACGUAGGCGGCUUUUUAAGUCAGCGGUGGAAUUUUGCAGCUUAACUGUAACAGUGCCGUUGAUACUGGGGAGCUAGGAUUUGGUUGCUGUGGGUGGAAUGUGUGGUGUAGCGGUGAAAUGCUUAGAGAUCACACAGAAUAUCGAUUGCGAAGGCAGCUCACAAAGCCAAGAUUGACGCUGAGGCACGAAAGUGUGGGGAUCAAACAGGAUUAGAUA
Molecule: ribosomal RNA, 261 nt
Filed under: uncultured prokaryote
Description: partial 16S ribosomal RNA
Rfam family: Bacterial small subunit ribosomal RNA
Source: RNAcentral